RNAcentral lists this transfer RNA (67 nucleotides) under Mycobacterium parmense. RNAcentral describes it as "tRNA-Arg". Lineage: Bacteria; Bacillati; Actinomycetota; Actinomycetes; Mycobacteriales; Mycobacteriaceae. The record is from RNAcentral.
CGGCACGUUGGCCGGCGAGAUCGCGUCUGCGGAACGCGGCGCGUCGUUCGGGCUCGGCGCGUCCCGC